RNAcentral lists this ribosomal RNA (549 nucleotides) under uncultured Glomus. Its description in RNAcentral is "SSU rRNA". It matches the Rfam family "Eukaryotic small subunit ribosomal RNA", at positions 548 to 1098 of the family's 1831-position model. Lineage: Eukaryota; Fungi; Glomeromycota; Glomeromycetes; Glomerales; Glomeraceae. The record is from RNAcentral.
UUGGAGGGCAAGUCUGGUGCCAGCAGCCGCGGUAAUUCCAGCUCCAAUAGCGUAUAUUAAAGUUGUUGCAGUUAAAAAGCUCGUAGUUGAAUUUCGGGAUCAAAUAAUCGGUCGUGCCUCCGGUACGUACUGGUUUUAUUGGUUCCUCCCUUCUGACGAACCAUGAUGUCAUUAAUUUGAUGUGGUGGAGAAUCAGGACUGUUACCUUGAAAAAAUUAGAGUGUUUAAAGCAGGCUAACGCUUGAAUACAUUAGCAUGGAAUAAUGAAAUAGGACGUUCGACCCUAUUUUGUUGGUUUCUAGGAUCGACGUAAUGAUUAAUAGGGAUAGUUGGGGGCAUUAGUAUUCAAUUGUCAGAGGUGAGAUUCUUGGAUUUAUUGAAGACUAACUACUGCGAAAGCAUUUGCCAAGGAUGUUUUCAUUAAUCAAGAACGAAAGUUAGGGGAUCGAAGACGAUCAGAUACCGUCGUAGUCUUAACCAUAAACUAUGCCGACUAGGGAUCGGAUGAUGUUAAUUUUUUAAUGACUCAUUCGGCGCCUUACGGGAAAC